CCAGCAGCACGGGAGAAGCUAUCUAACUAAGCAGGGAGCUGACACCUAGAGAACCAGGCAGUAGGAGGGAUGCCUGGUGGCCCCAGAGUCCCUGGUUUAAGUCAUUCCUGAGGCUGGCUGCAUUCUUGUCCAGCCAGUGGUUUGGAUACUGGAGUCAAUAAGUAAUCCCCAUACUCCCCUUUCCCAGAAGCCCGAGCAAAGCUGGCUCUGUACGCAGGAUGAGGGGAGGCUUGUGUGUGUGUGUGCGCUGUGGGUUCCUGAUCAGAAAGUUCUACCCCAUCUGAUGAGCCCUGGCAAAAAAGUCAUCAGAGAUGGUACUGAGGCUCUGAAAGCCUACGUGCUGGGGAGGAAGAUCCCAAGGAAGCAAUAAGUAACAGACUGACUUCACCUGGGCCCAUAACUCAUACCAAGGAACUAAUUCAACUGCUUCUGUGACUUCCACCCAGGAACUGACUCAACACAAGAAGACAGCUUCAACCCUCUGUAAUUUCAUCCCUGGCCCAACCAAUCAGCAUCCCCCAUUCCCUAGCCCCUUGACUGCCAAACUAUCUUUGAAAAACCCUAACCUUUGAGCUUUUGGGGAGGGUGAUUUGAGUAAUAAACUCCCAUCCUUC
RNAcentral lists this long non-coding RNA (614 nucleotides) under Homo sapiens (human). RNAcentral describes it as "non-protein coding lnc-PLEKHM1-12:2". The record is from RNAcentral. Lineage: Eukaryota; Metazoa; Chordata; Mammalia; Primates; Hominidae.